Molecule: long non-coding RNA, 2055 nt
Organism: Microcebus murinus (gray mouse lemur)
Lineage: Eukaryota; Metazoa; Chordata; Mammalia; Primates; Cheirogaleidae
Source: Ensembl
CUUGCAGGAGGGAGCUAUCCUACUUUGGACUGAAGGUUGUUUUAAUUGAACCUGGUGUCUUCAAGACUGUUGUGAGCAGUUCUAAUAUGCUCUCCAAAACCUCCAAGGAUGCGUGGGAGAGGGCCAGACCAGAGAUCAAGCAGAUCUAUGGCGAGAAGUUUCCAGCAUCCUACAUGAAAUCAAUAGAACCAAUCGAAGGAAGAUUAACACAGGAUCUGUCUUUGGUGAUUGGACUUGCAGGAGCCAUGGCAUGCGCUGAAGCCUGCACCCCGUACCGCUACUCAGCUGCUGGGAUGCGAAUCUCUCUACCUCCCAUGAGCGUAACGGUGGCCACCUUCCUGUGGACGCCAUCAUCCACAGGGCCCUCAAGUCACCCAAACAGGCCGUGAGCCAAGACUCUGAUGCAUGGUUGCAGGACAUUGACUGCUGUGGGAGGUAGAGGUACAUCAGCAGGAGGGUUGUAGGCUGGGGGAGGGAGCUCUUCUCCGCCAUCAGUAACACUGUCCACCUCUUCUUCUUCCUCUCCAAAGGGUUCUGUGGGCUAUUACCGAAUACCCUUGUGAUAUCAGGAGCAAAGAACCAAGGUUUCCGCUAAGAAAUGAAAACCCAACUGCACUUAUUGGUGUCCUGUUGGGGUGAGUAGCCACUCAAGCCCUGAAUUUCUUAAGUCCGGAGGAUUCCACGGAAUUGUCCAGGGUUGAGCUGGUGGAAGCAGACUCAGUCCACACCUGCUCUGCAUUGGUGCUAGCCCUGAGGUGUGCACUCACCUGGCCAGUGUGUUGCCCUCCCCCGGGAUGGAAAGUCCUGGGAAGCAGGGGCACCCCUGCUCUGAUGACCUGAGACAUGGACCGAGGGUGGAAGAAACCCUCAACCCAGACCCAUGUCCCCCCCCAGGGGCUGGCUUUGCAGGUAUUCACUGGAAGGUGGGGUCUUCCCUUGGUAUCCUGAUGGAAGACACAGAAACCAGUUGUUCAUUUGCCUUGAACCCACGGUGUGUGUGGAUUUUCUUGUUUUAGAAUAAACAUUGCUGGUUCACCCAUGCACAUUCGCAUAAAUGGUGGCCUUAGGAUUGGGAGGUGGGAACCUAGUGGCACAAGAGGCAGGCGACUUCAUGGAGGUAGGGGGGUGAGAGGUAACACCUGAGGAGGGGUCGAAGGGGGCUGGUGGAUUAUCCCCGCGUUUCUCCUGCUCUUCUACCAAACAGGCCAGGGAGCAAGCACUUCCCAUUUUGUCGGCUUUACAAGUGCCUGGUUCAACAGGAAUAGACAGAAGGACAGGCAACAAGGGAUGCAAUAAGCACUGGCAGGCCCAGACCCUCCCUGGGGCAGCUGAGCCUUCCUGCCCUCACCAGGUUCUGUGUCCCACAGGGACUGACUCAUUACAGGUCAUGCACUUCCCACUCGUCUGUCCCUCAGGCCCCCAACCCCACACUCCCCACAACCACCUCUCCAGUGAAAUGGACUGACAGUCACCUGUGGACCCCCAUCUCUCAUUUACUGCUCAUUUGUGCUGAGCGCCUGUUGUGUGCUGAAGGAAAUGCCCCAGGAUCCUGGGCUUCCACGGACCUCCCGGCUCUUGAGUCCCUCAGUGUUCGGGGUCCGCUGUGAGUGUGGUCUCAACAAAGAAAGCACUUGCAGAAGGGGACACAGAUUCCCGAGACAAGGACCUUUUAUAGCCAGGAGGACCCCUGCAAUCUAGGUUUCUUCCUCAAGUGUAACAGCUGAGGACACUGGAGCCUCAGGGGACUUGUGCUGUUGAGCAGAUCCGUGUUGGUGUGAAAAUGUAGCAGUGAGCUCAGAUUAUCGGAAAACGUGAAGUGGCGCCAUGGUGUGGACACGUCAGUGCUGAAGCGUGAAGAUGGCCGAGGAGGGUCAUCCUGGAGGACCCAAGGCCCUGAAAGCUGUAGUCAGCGCCACUGAGUGUCUUCCAUGCUGCCCACUUAGAAAACAUGGCCGGGCGCGGUGGCUCACGCCUGUAAUCCUAGCACUCUGGGAUCCUGAGGUCAGGAGAUCAAAAACCAGUCUGACAAGAAGCGAGACCCCGUCCUAAUUUAAA